This 207-nucleotide ribosomal RNA is filed under the name uncultured bacterium. Its description in RNAcentral is "partial 16S ribosomal RNA". It matches the Rfam family "Bacterial small subunit ribosomal RNA", at positions 568 to 774 of the family's 1533-position model. The record is from RNAcentral.
UGCGUAGGUGGCGUGGCAAGUCUGAUGUGAAAUCCCGAGGCUCAACCUCGGAACUGCAUUGGAUACUGCCAUGCUUGAGCACUGGAGAGGAGACUGGAAUUUACGGUGUAGCAGUGAAAUGCGUAGAUAUCGUAAGGAAGACCAGUGGCGAAGGCGAGUCUCUGGACAGUUGCUGACACUGAGGCACGAAGGCCAGGGGAGCAAACG